RNAcentral lists this ribosomal RNA (1398 nucleotides) under Triticum aestivum (bread wheat). RNAcentral's name for it is "partial small subunit ribosomal RNA". The record is from RNAcentral. Lineage: Eukaryota; Viridiplantae; Streptophyta; Magnoliopsida; Poales; Poaceae.
AUGGCUGGCAAGUGCGGCGAGGAGGAGCUGGAGGUCGCCGAGCCGCUGGGGCGGUGGCCCGUGCUGUCCUACGGCGUCGGCCACAUGCUCAACGACAUCACCUCCGCCUGCUGGUUCACCUACCUCCUCCUCUUCCUGCAAGAGAUCGGCCUCGCUCCAAGGGAUGCAGCUAUCGUGAUGCUCUCAGGCCAGGUCGCAGACGGGCUGAUGACCAUCGUCGCCGGAGAGAUGAUCGACCGGUUCGGGCGUUUCAAGCUGUGGCACAUCGGUGGGUCGGUCCUCGUCGGCAUCUCCUUCUCCUCGGUCUUCGGCGGGUGCCUGCUCUGCACCAUCCUCGGCACCGACUCCUACCUCGUCAGGACCAUUGGCUACAGCUUCUUCGCCGCCGUCUUCAACAUCGGGUGGGCGGCCACGCAGGUCUCCCACAUGUCGAUGGUGAACUGCAUGACGUCCAACCCCACGAGCCGGGUGGCCUUGGCGAGCUGCAGAAACGCUUCCACCAUGGUGGCUAAUCUUGGUCUAUAUGGCAUCGCGUUGGCUGUGUUUGGAAUAGUGAAGGCAAAGACAUGUGCAGACAUUGUUGUUCAGUACAAGUGGAUCGCGUACGUGUCCAUCUUCGUGGGGUGCUGCUUCCUGGUGCUGUUCCACGCUGGAACAGAAGAGCCCACCCUGAAGUGCGAGCCUAACUGCAAGAAACGGGCUCGGAUCGCGUGGAGCUACUGGUUCAAGAAGACCCUCUACUACCAAGUCGCUCUCCUCUACAUGCUUGCCAGAUUGAUCACCAACGUCUCCCAGUCGCUCAUCGCGUUCUACGUCACCAGAGAUCUGAGGAUGAACGAAUACUCCAAAGCCACCAUUCCGGCCAUCAUAUUCUGCUGCAGCUUCUUGGUGUCCGUGGUGCUCCAGGAGAUGAGGUGGAACAGCCGGCGGCUCAAGUCGCUGCUGACGAUCGGGGCGACGCUGUGGGUGAUCUCCGGCGCGGCGGUGUUCCUCCUCCCGAGCCAGAUGCACAACCUCAUGUACCCGCUGGCCGUGGUCAUCGGCGCCGCCAACGCGCUGGUCAUGGUGACCACCAUCGGGCUGGAGAGCGCGCUGGUCGGCGAGGACCUCAACGGCUGCGCCUUCGUCUACGGCUCCCUCAGCUUCCUCGACAAGAUGUCCUGCGGCCUCGCGCUCUUCGUGCUCGAGUCCUACGACGUCGCCUCCAGCUGCGGCGACGCCCGCGGGCUCAACACCGUCAGCAGGUACGGCACCGGGCUCAUCCCGGCCUGCUUCGCCGUGCUCGCCAUCGUCGUCGCCUCCACCCUCAGGCUGCAGGACGACGACGUUGCCCGUGCCGACCGCAGGGCCAGGGCUUCCGCCGCCGCCGGCGCGCUGGAAGCUCCGCUCCUUGUCUGA